UCUAUGUUUUAUGACAUUCUCCUAACAAUGUAUUGUAGAAAUCUAUAUUGCAUCAAAUAGCAGAAGGAUCCUGAAAAAUUCCUUGAGUGGUAGAAGGACUCUUCAUACUCUUCAUUUUUUCUAUCUUUUAAAUUUCCUAGGCUCUCCAUUUUAUACCUGAAGAUAGCCAUAUUCAUCCUCUUCUCACUGGUGCAAUUUUGAAGUCUGCACAACAGAGGCAAGCAGGGAAAUCCAUAGUUGGCAAGUAGGGAAGAUCUCCAUCCUCACUAGCAAGACAAGAAAUGAGCUGCAGCUUUGAGUCAGGAUCUCCAGCCCUGACUUCAGCAAGAAGUGGUAUAGUUGUGGGCAAUUUACCUGUAGCACCCAGCUGAUCAUCUCUGCUUCUUGUGGAAAGAAAAAGCAGUUAUCUGAAGCUUGAAGGUUUUUGGAAAGAAACUGGCAAAACAGGAAGAAAUUCCCCCCAGGUGGAAACCAAAUGUCCAGAGAGCAUUGAGGUCUUUCCAGGCCCACGUGGGCUCUUCCUGGUAAGCUUGACACUGAACUGUCCCCAAGACACAGAGAUUCCUUUCCCUCAUGCCUUCAAGGAUUUACUACCCAGCAGGGACUUGUGAUGGUAAGAGGGAUUACCUGUGAGGGAGCCAAUCUCUUCAGCACUCAUCUGACAGGUUGCUGCAGAACUGGUAUGACUUGAGUUCAAAAUCACGCUGAGCAAUGGAUUAAAAUAAAGUAACAG
This 733-nucleotide long non-coding RNA is filed under the name Cyanistes caeruleus (blue tit). RNAcentral's name for it is "lncRNA (ENSCCEG00000014167.1)". Lineage: Eukaryota; Metazoa; Chordata; Aves; Passeriformes; Paridae. The record is from RNAcentral.